Molecule: ribosomal RNA, 906 nt
Filed under: uncultured Syndiniales
Lineage: Eukaryota; Dinophyceae; Syndiniales
Description: SSU rRNA
Rfam family: Eukaryotic small subunit ribosomal RNA
Source: RNAcentral
AGCUCGUAGUUGGAUUUCUGCGGGGGACGAACGGUCCACCUUAUGGGUGAGUAUCUGUCAGGCCCUUGCAUCCUCGUGGGGAACGUCGCUGCGCUUUAUUGCGUGGUACGGAAUCCACGACUUUUACUUUGAGGAAAUUAGAGUGUUCACGGCAGGCAAACGCCCUGAAUAUGUUAGCAUGGAAUAAUAAUAUAGGACUUUGGUUUUAUUUUGUUGGUUUCUAGAACUAAAGUAAUGAUAAAUAGGGACAGUUGGGGGUAUUUGUAUUAAUGCGUCAGAGGUGGAAUUCUUGGAUUGCAUUACGACAAACUACUGCGAAAGCAUUUACCAAGGAUGUUUUCAUUGAUCAAGAACGAAAGUAUGGGGAUCGAAGACGAUUAGAUACCGUCGUUUUUUUAUACCAUAAACUAUGCCAACUAGGAAUCUUGGGGAUGUAUAAUCUAUGACUCCCAAGGCGCCUUAGAGAAAUUAAAGUUUUUGGGUUCCGGGGGGAGUAUGGUCGCAAGGCUGAAACUUAAAGGAAUUGACGGAAGGGCACCACCAGGAGUGGAGCCUGCGGCUUAAUUUGACUCAACACGGGAAAACUUACCAGGUCCAGACAUAGAUAGGAUUGACAGACUGAUAGCUCUUUCUUGAUUCUAUGGGUGGUGGUGCAUGGCCGUUCUUAGUUGGUGGAGUGAUUUGUCUGCUUAAUUGCAUUAACGAACGAGACCUUAAUCUGCUAAAUAGCUGAACGUAACUCCGGUUAUAUUCCUAGCUUCUUAGAGAGACUUUCAGCUUCAAGUUGAAGGAAGUUUGAGGCAAUAACAGGUCUGUGAUGCCUUUAGAUGUUCUGGGCUGCACGCGCGCUACACUGAUGCGUUCAACGAGUAUCAACCUUAGCAGACAUGCUUGGGUAAUCUUUUG